UACGUCCACAUCACGUUAAAACACCAGUCCCUGUACGAUCCCGGAAGUUAAGCAACCUCGGCCGUGGUCAGUACCUAGAUGAGUAACCGCUUGGGAAUACCAGGUGCUGUAA
This is a non-coding RNA of Acanthosepion pharaonis, 112 nucleotides long. NCBI's taxonomy places the organism in Eukaryota, Metazoa, Mollusca, Cephalopoda, Sepiida, Sepiidae. The record is from the annotation of a GenBank genome assembly.